UACGGAGGAUGCGAGCGUUAUCCGGAUUUAUUGGGUUUAAAGGGUGCGUAGGCGGAUCGUUAAGUCAGUGGUCAAAUUGAGGGGCUCAACCCCUUCCCGCCAUUGAAACUGGCGAUCUUGAGUGGAAGAGAAGUAUGCGGAAUGCGUGGUGUAGCGGUGAAAUGCAUAGAUAUCACGCAGAACCCCGAUUGCGGAGGCAGCAUGCCGGCUUCCUACUGACGCUGAAGCACGAAAGCGUGGGGAUCGAACAGG
This 252-nucleotide ribosomal RNA is filed under the name uncultured bacterium. RNAcentral's name for it is "partial 16S ribosomal RNA". It matches the Rfam family "Bacterial small subunit ribosomal RNA", at positions 524 to 776 of the family's 1533-position model. The record is from RNAcentral.